AGUAAUACAUCGGAACGUGUCCUAGUGGGGGGAGUAACUGCCCGAAAGGGCAGCUAAUACCGCAUGAGACCUGAGGGUGAAAGCGGGGGAUCGCAAGACCUCGCGCUGGAAGAGCGGCCGAUGUCCGAUUAGCUAGUUGGUGAGGUAAAGGCUCACCAAGGCGACGAUCGGUAGCUGGUCUGAGAGGACGACCAGCCACACUGGGACUGAGACACGGCCCAG
Molecule: ribosomal RNA, 222 nt
Filed under: uncultured bacterium
Lineage: Bacteria
Description: partial 16S ribosomal RNA
Rfam family: Bacterial small subunit ribosomal RNA
Source: RNAcentral